This 429-nucleotide ribosomal RNA is filed under the name Chloroflexota bacterium. RNAcentral's name for it is "Chloroflexi bacterium partial 16S ribosomal RNA". It matches the Rfam family "Bacterial small subunit ribosomal RNA", at positions 355 to 776 of the family's 1533-position model. Lineage: Bacteria; Bacillati; Chloroflexota. The record is from RNAcentral.
UGGGGAAUAUUGCACAAUGGGCGCAAGCCUGAUGCAGCCAUGCCGCGUGUAUGAAGAAGGCCUUCGGGUUGUAAAGUACUUUCAGUCGGGAGGAAGGUGGUAAGGUUAAUAACCUUAUCAAUUGACGUUACCGACAGAAGAAGCACCGGCUAACUCCGUGCCAGCAGCCGCGGUAAUACGGAGGGUGCAAGCGUUAAUCGGAAUUACUGGGCGUAAAGCGCACGCAGGCGGUUGAUUGAGUCAGAUGUGAAAUCCCCGGGCUUAACCCGGGAAUUGCAUCUGAUACUGGUCAGGUAGAGUCUUGUAGAGGGGGGUAGAAUUCCAGGUGGAGCGGUGAAAUGCGUAGGGAUGUGGAGGAAUACCGGUGGCGAAGGCGGCCCCCUGGACAAAGACUGACGCUCAGGUGCGAAAGCGUGGGGAGCAAACAGG